RNAcentral lists this transfer RNA (73 nucleotides) under Thermoproteota archaeon. Its description in RNAcentral is "tRNA-Gly". It matches the Rfam family "tRNA". From Rfam's summary of the family: Transfer RNA (tRNA) molecules are approximately 80 nucleotides in length. Their secondary structure includes four short double-helical elements and three loops (D, anti-codon, and T loops). Lineage: Archaea; Thermoproteati; Thermoproteota. The record is from RNAcentral. RNAcentral also lists the same sequence under 1 other name.
GCGGCCGUUGUCUAGUCUGGUAGGACUUCAGCCUCCCACGCUGAAAGCCCGGGUUCAAAUCCCGGCGGCCGCA